GAGGUACUGAGAAGGGUUGGAGUUUCCAACUGUCAGAGUCUCUGGAAGCUGAGCUUGGCUCUGGAGGCUGGUGGUUGUUGGCUCUCUGGGAUUUCCCUUUCAAACCUUGGGAAUACCAGACUGGCACUUUGGAAGAGAGAAAGUUGGCUAGGAUGGAGAUUGACCCAUGAAGAAAAAAGCCCAGAAUGGAAGGAGAACACGGCAUAGAAGAAGUUUAGGAGAAGUUGGAUUUGGUUAUUUGUUUCUAUACCUAAGAGACUUUCAUUCCAUUGUUAAUGAUGAUGUCACUAUUGAAGUUUGA
This 301-nucleotide long non-coding RNA is filed under the name Monodelphis domestica (gray short-tailed opossum). RNAcentral describes it as "lncRNA (ENSMODG00000039142.1)". The record is from RNAcentral. Lineage: Eukaryota; Metazoa; Chordata; Mammalia; Didelphimorphia; Didelphidae.